This 202-nucleotide long non-coding RNA is filed under the name Mytilus galloprovincialis (Mediterranean mussel). The record is from RNAcentral. Lineage: Eukaryota; Metazoa; Mollusca; Bivalvia; Mytilida; Mytilidae.
GUCAGAUUUGCUCUAAAUGCUUUGGUUUCAGAGUUAUAAGCCAAAAUCUACAUUUUACCCCUAUGUUCUAUUUCUAGCAAUGGCGGCCAUCUUGGUUGUUUGGUCGGGUCACCGGACACAUUUUUGAAACUAGAUACUCCAAUGAUGAUUGUGGCUAAGUUUGGUAAAAUUUGGCCUAGUAGUUUCAGAGGAGAAGAUUUUU